RNAcentral lists this ribosomal RNA (495 nucleotides) under uncultured bacterium. RNAcentral describes it as "partial 16S ribosomal RNA". It matches the Rfam family "Bacterial small subunit ribosomal RNA", at positions 28 to 507 of the family's 1533-position model. The record is from RNAcentral.
GACGAACGCUGGCGGCGUGCCUAAUACAUGCAAGUAGAACGCUGAAGGAGGAGCUUGCUUCUCUGGAUGAGUUGCGAACGGGUGAGUAACGCGUAGGUAACCUGCCUGGUAGCGGGGGAUAACUAUUGGAAACGAUAGCUAAUACCGCAUAAGAGUAGAUGUCGCAUGACAUUUGCUUAAAAGGUGCAAUUGCAUCACUACCAGAUGGACCUGCGUUGUAUUAGCUAGUUGGUGAGGUAACGGCUCACCAAGGCAACGAUACAUAGCCGACCUGAGAGGGUGAUCGGCCACACUGGGACUGAGACACGGCCCAGACUCCUACGGGAGGCAGCAGUAGGGAAUCUUCGGCAAUAGACGGAAGUCUGACCGAGCAACGCCGCGUGAGUGAAGAAGGUUGUCGGAUCGUAAAGCUCUGUUGUAAGAGAAGAACGAGUGUGAGAGUGGAAAGUUCACACUGUGACGGUAUCUUACCAGAAAGGGACGGCUAACUACGUG